CCUACGGGGAGCAGCAGUGAGGAAUAUUGGUCAAUGGACGAGAGUCUGAACCAGCCAAGUAGCGUGAAGGAUGACUGCCCUAUGGGUUGUAACCUUCUUUUAUAAAGGAAUAAAACGAGGCACGUGUGCCUUUUUGCAUGUACUUUAUGAAUAAGGAUCGGCUAACUCCGUGCCAGCAGCCGCGGUAAUACGGAGGAUCCGAGCGUUAUCCGGAUUUAUUGGGUUUAAAGGGAGCGUAGAUGGGUUGUUAAGUCAGGUGUGAAAGUUUGCGGCUCAACCGUAAAAUUGCAAUUGAUACUGGCAGUCUUGAGUACAGUUGAGGUAGGCGGAAUUCGUGGUGUAGCGGUGAAAUGCUUAGAUAUCACGAAGAACCUCGAUUGCGAAGGCAGCUUACUAAACUGUGACUGACAUUGAUGCUCGAAAGUGUGGGUAUCAAACAGGAUUAGAUACCCCAGUAGUC
This 460-nucleotide ribosomal RNA is filed under the name uncultured bacterium. RNAcentral's name for it is "partial 16S ribosomal RNA". It matches the Rfam family "Bacterial small subunit ribosomal RNA", at positions 338 to 795 of the family's 1533-position model. The record is from RNAcentral.